GAUGAACGCUGGCGGCGUGCCUAAUACAUGCAAGUAGAACGCUGAAGGAGGAGCUUGCUCUUCUGGAUGAGUUGCGAACGGGUGAGUAACGCGUAGGUAACCUGCCUGGUAGCGGGGGAUAACUAUUGGAAACGAUAGCUAAUACCGCAUGACAACAGUUAUUGCAUGAUAACUGUUUAAAAGGGGCAACUGCUCCACUACCAGAUGGACCUGCGUUGUAUUAGCUAGUUGGUGAGGUAACGGCUCACCAAGGCGACGAUACAUAGCCGACCUGAGAGGGUGGUCGGGCACACUGGGACUGAGAGACAGCCCAGACUCCUACAGGAGGCAGCAGUAGGGGAUCUUCGGCAAUGGACGGGAGUCUGACCGAGCGAAGCCGCGUGAGUGAAGAAGGUUUUCGGAUCGUAAAGAUCUGUUGUAAGAGAAGAACGAGUGUGAGAGUGGAAAGUUCACCCUGUGACGGUAUCUUACCAGAAAGGGACGGCUAACUACGUG
Molecule: ribosomal RNA, 495 nt
Filed under: uncultured bacterium
Lineage: Bacteria
Description: partial 16S ribosomal RNA
Rfam family: Bacterial small subunit ribosomal RNA
Source: RNAcentral